UCAACCGUCUCUAUACUCCACAUGUAUGUACUUACACAACCAAAACACAUGCUAUUUACGCACUCGCAUUUAAAUCAGCCUCAAAUUAAACUGGACAAAAAUAUAAUUGUAUCACGACAAUUGAUCACUCAUCUCAUCGUACGUAAGUCAACGAGUCCGUCAAAAAAAAACAAGAGGAUGGAGCUACAGCGAGCGAGUGAAUGGAUGACGAGCCAAGUUUUACUAGUAGGACGUAGUACUACGCUACAGCGCCGGCCGGGUAAGUAAAUGGGGAGCAAUUAAUUCAUCAUCAUCACCUGGACUGCUGGAGGGACGCGGGUACAGAAUUGGCCCUGUCAUUCUCUCAAUUCCUCCUCGCUGUCAGCGUCAGCUGCAGACGAGUAGCCAUUCAACACAGCACAGGUGGUGGCGUAAAGGCCUUUGCAGGGCCAGACGGCAGAGGACAGGCAGUAAGCAACCUGCUAGUGCUAGCUAGGACUAGGAGUGGUAGUAUUUGUUUGCAUGGAUCGCGCGCAUGCAGUCUCCGUCUGGCCGGCGAAUAGAUUCUUCGUCCCCGAUCGAUCAAGCUCAAUUCCAUGCGUGCAUAGCCGCUUGCGUUGUUGCCUCUGAGUCUCUGACUGACUGGUAUACCCAAUCCUCUUCAUCCCGUGGAAUGCGCGCAAGGGAAAAAAAAUGGAUCGUCGGAGCUGGAAGCCCUGGACUCACUGGAGUUGCUAUAGGAGCGAUCGAGGCGAGCGUCGGACGC
Molecule: long non-coding RNA, 745 nt
Filed under: Zea mays
Lineage: Eukaryota; Viridiplantae; Streptophyta; Magnoliopsida; Poales; Poaceae
Description: long non-coding RNA NONZMAT001706
Source: RNAcentral